Small nuclear RNA from Otolemur garnettii (small-eared galago), 106 nucleotides. NCBI's taxonomy places the organism in Eukaryota, Metazoa, Chordata, Mammalia, Primates, Galagidae. The record is from Ensembl.
GUGCUCACUCUUCUGCACCACAUAUACUAAAAAUGGACUGAUACAGACAUUAGGUAGGCGCCUAUGAAAGGAUGAGAUGCAAAUUUAUGAAGUACUUCAUAUUUUU